AUGUUCAUUUCAGCAGCACAUAUACUAAAAUUGGAAUGGUACACAGAAGAUUAGCACAGCCCCUGAGCAAGGAUGACACAAAUUCAUGAAGCGUUCUAUAUUUUU
RNAcentral lists this small nuclear RNA (105 nucleotides) under Dasypus novemcinctus (nine-banded armadillo). Lineage: Eukaryota; Metazoa; Chordata; Mammalia; Cingulata; Dasypodidae. The record is from RNAcentral.